GAAAUAUGGGAUAGGGAUCCCCGUGUAUGAGAUUUGGGAGAUCCAGUUCCUCUUAGUUAUCGCCGCGGCGCUGCGAUCGCCGGGAGAAGGGCCGGCGGGGCUGCGCCAUGGCCGGCCGAAGCCCCUCCGCUACCCAGCUACCACCCUCUCCUUUUCCCAGCCCGGCCGAAUCCAUCCAUACCGCAGCUCCCCGCCUCCGCCCUACCACCACGGCACCACCCCUGCCGCCACCCCUGUUUUCAUUUGCAUCGGCAUCCUGUCCAUGCCCCCACCCAGGGAUGCGGCUUCGACUGCAACGGCAUCCUGCUGCAGCAGCCCAUAGAGUCGAACCUGCGCCUGCAAGAAACCAAGUUCAGAGCUCGGUUUCGUAUGGGUCGGUCAGUGCUGUACUAUUUAAGAAAGUUUAGAGAAGAACACUUCAGAUCAAUAGAGGUUAGCAUAUUGAAGCUCUUCCCUGAAUCCUACGGAUGCUGAUAAUGCACUAAAUAUUUGACCUGGUACUUAGAAGUCCUACAGGUAGUAAGUGACGUUGCUUCAUGCCUGGAAGCUUGAAGUCCUGAAGGCUGGAACACGAGCUGCUAGUGAAGUGCUUUUGGCCGUUGAAGUUUACUCAGUUUAUUUACUCAUUUGGUCUGUCAUGAAUUUGAAUUUCUAGGCUAAGUAAGUUCUUUUAUUGAGUACACUCGUUGUAGACGUUAAUAAAUUAGUUGAUACAAGUCAAUUUCUUCUGUAAGAUCGAUCCAUAACUGGCAAGGGUCUUGUUUCUCGACCCCCCGUGUAUGUUCCCGAGUCAUCGUCAAUGGUAUGGGGUUGUGUUCCU
Long non-coding RNA from Brachypodium distachyon (stiff brome), 820 nucleotides. RefSeq lists it as uncharacterized. The transcript has 4 exons. The record is from RefSeq and is a predicted model, not a curated record. NCBI's taxonomy places the organism in Eukaryota, Viridiplantae, Streptophyta, Magnoliopsida, Poales, Poaceae.